This 1289-nucleotide long non-coding RNA is filed under the name Monodelphis domestica (gray short-tailed opossum). RNAcentral's name for it is "lncRNA (ENSMODG00000049087.1)". Lineage: Eukaryota; Metazoa; Chordata; Mammalia; Didelphimorphia; Didelphidae. The record is from RNAcentral.
AAGCAAGUCAUCAGAAACACAGAUGCUGUUAUUAUUAGUAUUACCAUUAUGCAAAUUUCUUUAGAACUAAAGAACAAGGGAAGAGAAAUAUAGAACAUAAAUGACAUGCAAGAAGAAUUGCCUCUAAGAAGGAUGCUUUUGAAGGUUUUCUAUGCAGCUCUUUAAAAUCAAUGGAGUAAUUAAAAGUGGAAAAAAAUAUGGUAGUGCAAGGAAAUAAAAAGACUAGGUCUGGAAAAUAUUAGAUAUCCCUGAAUACGGUUGGAACUAAUAACAAGCCUCAAAAAUGAAAAACAACAAGAGAAAAAAUUGCCUCAACAUAUUUCUUUGGUGCUUAAAAAAAUCUCCACUUGUAGUAUCUGAAGAGGAAGGAAGGAAGAUGCUUAAUUCCUGUGUUUUCCUGUUAUUCUACUGCCCCUGUACUUUUUGCCACUGAGAUGGCCAUGUAGGGCACAAGUGGAACUCAACAAAAAUGUGACUGGCAAGGUGGUGUGGUUCCAGAGUUCAUCUCUAUUGAAAGAAAAAGAAAAAGCAAGAAAUCAAAUCAUUCUUAUCAGAUGAGUCAAAGGGAAAUAGUACUUUCAUGGCAUAUCCUGCUGGUGACCAAAAAUUUGAAAGCCACUCUAAAGAGGAAAACUAUGUCUAGGAAGGAUAUAUGCCCAGCAGUCCACUGGUUGGCAGGACCAUAUCACCAUCCCACCUUUAAAUGGCACGAGGAUAAGGGAAGCAAUCAUCUAUGUGGCCCUCCUCUACAGAGCAAGGGUGUCCAGCUUUUCUAAGAUGCCCAUGGCUAAGGCCUUAUUUCUACCUGGAAUCAUGCCUGCUGCCUCAAAGUUAUUCUCAUCUCAAGUCCUUUCUCUUCCAAGGUAGAGUUUUCUGUGCAGGAGCUGGACAAACAGGAAAGAAAGCACAGCCACAUAUCUCCCUAGAUCUCGGACUCCCACCAACUUCAGAUCAAACUCCUGACGUGAAAGAGACGCACAACAGAACAGAAGGGAUGGGAACCACACUGACUAAAUACAGAUCACACCACGUAUUCAAUUGCAGUCGAUGAGGCAAAGGGGAUGAAAAGCUGAAGCACCACUGGAAACCACACACACUCAGGAUUUCAAAGUUGGGCUUGAUUUUCUCACCAUUUACAAUGGAGAAAAUAGACACCCUUUUGAGUGGCUUCUAGUUUUGCAUUUGGCCUGGGAUGGUUGCUGAAGGAAGAGAAUGAUAAAGAUAAAUUGUAUUCUUUUGUGGUUUAAAAGGGCUUUGUGAUCAAUAAAUAACCAUGUGAGGAGAGAACA